AAUUACAUAAUAAUAUCAUUAGAAAAAUUUAAUCAAAAACAAAAUCCUUUAAUGAUGUCAUUAAGGUUACCAAAAUUAUUUAACUACAAUAUUCAUUUCUUAAUUAUAGGGCUUAUUGGAUCUAAAGACGGGUCAUCAAAGAUUUCCUAAACUGAAGCAAAAUAUACCGAAUAUUCAAAUAUCUAUCUGUUACCAAAUUAUAUACAAAUAAGUUCGUAAAAUAAUUUAAUAUUUUAUAUACAAAAUCAAUUAAAUCUUAAUCACAUAAAAAUUAGCACAAAAAAUAAAGUAUUCAACAAUUAAAAAUUUAUCAAUUCUCUGUGAUAUAUGAGUUUUUAUACUAUAUUCGAAUAAAGUGUAAUAUA
Molecule: small RNA, 365 nt
Filed under: Arabidopsis thaliana (thale cress)
Lineage: Eukaryota; Viridiplantae; Streptophyta; Magnoliopsida; Brassicales; Brassicaceae
Description: ATSL177320
Source: RNAcentral